This 351-nucleotide long non-coding RNA is filed under the name Rattus norvegicus (Norway rat). Its description in RNAcentral is "long non-coding RNA NONRATT028321". Lineage: Eukaryota; Metazoa; Chordata; Mammalia; Rodentia; Muridae. The record is from RNAcentral.
CGAAUAAAUUCCAGUGCCCAUGGAACACAGAAAAGGCAUGGAACUCUAGAGAUGGAGUCACAGGUGUGGACCACCACACCUCCUUUGUCUGACUUGUCUCCCAGCUGGUGUGUGUAUCUCUGGGACAUUGUCUGGCAUGAGUCCCACAGUGACUCCAAGAGGCUUGACGGUGCCCCUGUCCUCCUCUCCCAGGGACCCAUUUGUACAGGCUAAGCUGUGGCCAGAGGAUGGCCUCUACCUGAUCCAGUGGAGCACCAGCCACCUGCACCGACUGAUCCUCACCGUAGCCCAUCGAAACCCGGCUUCCAGAAACGGCCCUAGGGGCCUACGCCUCCGAAAGUUCCCCAUCAC